AACGAACGCUGGCGGCAUGCCUAACACAUGCAAGUCGAACGAGACCUUCGGGUCUAGUGGCGCACGGGUGCGUAACGCGUGGGAAUCUGCCCUUGGGUUCGGAAUAACAGUUAGAAAUGACUGCUAAUACCGGAUAAUGUCUUCGGACCAAAGAUUUAUCGCCCAGGGAUGAGCCCGCGUAGGAUUAGCUAGUUGGUGAGGUAAAGGCUCACCAAGGCGACGAUCCUUAGCUGGUCUGAGAGGAUGAUCAGCCACACUGGGACUGAGACACGGCCCAGACUCCUACGGGAGGCAGCAGUGGGGAAUAUUGGACAAUGGCGAAAGCCUGAUCCAGCAAUGCCGCGUGAGUGAUGAAGGCCUUAGGGUUGUAAAGACUCUUUUACCCGGGUAUGAUAAUGACAGUACCGGGAGGAAUAAAG
This 419-nucleotide ribosomal RNA is filed under the name uncultured bacterium. RNAcentral's name for it is "bacterial SSU rRNA". It matches the Rfam family "Bacterial small subunit ribosomal RNA", at positions 29 to 492 of the family's 1533-position model. The record is from RNAcentral.